AGCUUUUUGAAUCCGUGUUGAGAUUUCUUCAGACACCAACCCAUUAAGGCUCAUCAGACUUCCAAGAUAAGUGAAGUU
Molecule: microRNA precursor, 78 nt
Filed under: Schistosoma mansoni
Lineage: Eukaryota; Metazoa; Platyhelminthes; Trematoda; Strigeidida; Schistosomatidae
Description: mir-3492 microRNA precursor family
Rfam family: mir-3492 microRNA precursor family
Source: Rfam by way of RNAcentral